Molecule: non-coding RNA, 73 nt
Organism: Podarcis lilfordi (Lilford's wall lizard)
Lineage: Eukaryota; Metazoa; Chordata; Lepidosauria; Squamata; Lacertidae
Source: the annotation of a GenBank genome assembly
GGGCCAUAGCUCAGUGGAAGAGCCUCUGUCUUGCAAGCAGAAGGUCUCCGGUUCAUUUCCCAGCACAUCUCCA